AUGCAGCAGCCAGGGCCGCGGGGCCAGAGCGCAGGGGGCUCCCGGUCCCUGGGAGGCAGCCAGAGGCGAUUCAGCUGCUCUGCAGGGAAAGGCGGCCGCGGGCAGCCGGCCCUGGGCAUCCCGCACCUGCAUCCGUCCCGCCCCGCAGCAGAGCUGCCGACACACCCUGGGGAGCGGGGCAGGAGGGAGCGGCCCUGCGGGAAAGGGGCCCAGUCGCAGCACAAAGCACCGAGUUCCUUCCUACGCACCCAUUCCCCUUCCCGCCCCGCUGCCAAGGCCAAUAGCGGGGUGCCGCGGGGCAGCCAGGCAGCCCCAGGGCCACCGCCGAGCCCGGGGCUAGGGGUGCCAGGUCAUCCCCCAAAGGGCUGCAGCGGGAGGGCAGGCAACCUCCUGGGUCUGCGGCUGCGGGGCAGGGCUCUGCGCGCUGCACUGGAGCAGGGCUCCGCAGCGAGGCUCUGCCAGAUGACCGACGCGCUUUGCUCCGUGUUCUCCCCAGCCGGCUGCUGCAGACCCUUCCCAGCAGGAGCAGAGCUGCCGGCCCAGCCCGAGGGGCGCUGCCAGUCCUGCAGCAAGGGGAGAGAGCAGGCGGCGGGCCGGACAGCGGCCCUAAGGGGCGGGGAGCAGGCCCAGCAUCCUGCCGCGCUGCCUUUGGGGCGCGAAUCCAGCGGGAACUGGGCCGGAGAGAAGGCAGGGGGCGGCGGUCCAGCUGCAGACACGUGCACGUUGUUCUCUGCACAAGCCUCGGCACCAGAACUCGGCCUGGUCCUGCUCUGGGCCCCUGGGGUGGGGAGCUGGAGGCUCGCCCUGCCCCACAGCAGCCAGACCUCGCUACCCGCUUCCCUGCGGCCACACGGCCUGCAGCUGCCCUCCUCCAGGCAGGGGGAGGAGCGGAGCAGAGCCAAGGGCCCCCAAAGCCUGGCACCCCAACAGUCGGGGGCGCCGGGAGAGGCACAGGGAGCACCCUGCGCUCCUGUCCCGUGCCCCCUUCCCAGCACCUCGCGCCGCAGGGCUGCCUGGCACUAA
This 1023-nucleotide long non-coding RNA is filed under the name Anser cygnoides (Swan goose). RNAcentral's name for it is "lncRNA (ENSACDG00005016519.1)". The record is from RNAcentral. Lineage: Eukaryota; Metazoa; Chordata; Aves; Anseriformes; Anatidae.